Molecule: non-coding RNA, 565 nt
Organism: Misgurnus anguillicaudatus (oriental weatherfish)
Lineage: Eukaryota; Metazoa; Chordata; Actinopteri; Cypriniformes; Cobitidae
Source: RefSeq, a predicted model, not a curated record
AAUUAUUUGAUGGUCACUGUUGUUUUUCAGCAGACAAAACUCCCACUGAUGGGUCAGCACAACGCCAUCUGCUGAGUUUUAGAUCACUGAUGUAGUUUGAAGUUAUCCUAUCUAUUGUUAGCUCAAAUAGAUCAGAUAUUGGCAAAAAGUUCUAAGUAAUACAGAAAUGUUUAGUAGGUUUGUUUCAUAUUGUUGUUUUAGGUUGGAGACCCUUGAGAGGAGCAUCAGAUGGGCAAGAGGGAGGAUUCUUCAAUUGGUUGAUGCAGAUGAACUUCUUCCGUUAGUCAGUGGUUUUAUCCAAAUUGUCCAAACUGGGUUGACAACAGAUCAAGGUAUCUCAGGGUAUCAAGCCCCACUGGUCCGGACAAGUGAUUAUGGACGGUCCAGCUACUUAAUAACUCGCGAGCAACUGCAGUUCCUGCAUUCAUGUGGUUUUGGACCUUGUCAGAUUGCUACCAUUCUUGAUGUGUCAGUCAGUACAGUUAAACGACGAAUGAGGCAGUUCAACCUUUCUGUCUUGACAUACUCGAAUCUUUCAGAUUGUCCCAACUCAUUGUGGCACAUU